AUGCAUAAGACUAUAAUGCAUAAAGAAAUUAUUUUAACCAUGGGUUUUUAAAAGUCUAUACCAUAACUAUUUUUAAAUUUAUGGGUUGUUUUUAAAUAGCGACAGGGGUCGUAUUUUUAAGAACCGCAAACGUGCGGUAGGGUGCAUACAGAACCAUAAUUUGGGGAUGCUCCGUUGUUUACAAACUUUGUGUUAUCAGUUGAUACAAACCAGAUCUCUCGUCUUUAACAGACACCCCUAUGUACCAACCUCGUAUAAAGUAAGGCCCACUAAGAUUGUAUUUAGCACACCUGAAAAUUUGUGUUUGGAACUUUGAGCAAGAAAGUCUACGUUAAAAAGUCUAGAAGCGAAAUGGCUACAUAUCUUAGCGAUGAGUGUGUUUAAGAUUCUGUUUUUGUUUUUUAAAUGUGUUGUGUAUUACAAAUGUAUCGCAAAGGCUCGGAUAACAUAUCAUAUGGUACUGUUUUAGGUGCCCUGAACGAUCCAGACUUUGCUGAUGUUGCAGGAGAAAUGUGUGAUUUAAAUAGGUUAUCAGGUAUGUUUUAACGUUUUCUACAUAUAAUUUUUAAAUGAUGCGCUCGCAUAAAAAAUACAUCUAUAACAUUUUCUAAUUCCUUCAGGAUUGAGGACCCCCCAGUUAAUGAUGAGAACUGUAAGUUGUGUGUGUGUGUAUGUGUUGGCUACAGUAUGUUUUACGACCACCCUCUAUUUUCACAGUGGGUCGCAACAUCAGAUCAUCUGACCGAGACAUCGUAUGGGGAGUUGCAGGUCGUCAGACACUCAGCGCGUAUUUGUGUUUUACAUUUUUCGUUCCAACAUUUUGUCUGUUUUCAAAAAUACUAAAAAUGAUCUUUGUCUUGCAGCGCAUUUGUCUAACCUUCUGGACAGCAUACCCACUACAUCAGGGGUCUCAGAAAAAAUUAGAGGGGUAAGAUCUGUGUGUGUGUGUCUCUGAUGCCAUAUGGCUUACGCUCCACCCUCUCUAUCUUUCACAGGGAUCCGUACCACGUCUGCUCGACACAACGUUGGUAGAGCUGGAGUUCGCAAACCACUCUCGGAUUUGUCCAUCCUGGUGGAUAACAUACCUCACAAAACGCGGUGGGGUCUCGGAGGACACAAAAGACAGCGAUCCAAACAGGCCAUGGUUCAGGCCCCACGGGUUCACAAUACACCUUUACAAGGCAUAUUUAGCCUCCAUUAGAAAUGGUCUUUAAACAGAAUGUUUUAUUUUAAUAUAUUUUCUAAUAACAACAUGUUUAUCUUUUUACAGUUUUGAAUGCUAGCGACAAUGCGAUCGAUGAGGCAUCAUCUUUAGGGACUGACGUUAGAACAUCUCUCCAUGUAUUGGACACAAGCGAUAACGCUGUAAGUUUUGCAGAGUGGGAUGUGGAUCUGCUUAAUGCGUGGGACGCUUGCGAUUUUGAUCUACCUCCCCCAUCACCAACACCGGCAACAGCGACCCUGAAUGUCCAAGAAUCACCUGUGUUUUCCGAACAGGCUCUCGCGGUGGUACCCCUAAAUCGAAAAGACAGUGAUUCUGAGGAUACAGAAUUGACCCCAUCGGUCUUGCCACUGAACCUUGAGGACCGAAGUUCCACGUCUUCCGAACAGGACCCUGAGGCAUUGCCAUCUAACCAGCAGACCUACAGAAACAAACUUGCGUCUGAUGAACAAGUCCCAGACAACACUGAAAAUGAAGUGACUCUAAUAGAGAUCAAAGACUUUCUGGAGUAUGUCUGGGAUGCUUAUGUACAAUUAACAACAAUUUGUUGCCGCGGGGUUUUCAAACCUGGAUACAGAACGAAGAUCCUUGUUUGAGUUAAACACAGAAAUUGUCACUCUGCUAAAAAAGGGUUUUGGUAAGUGACAAAUUAUCAUUUGUUUUGCUGAUGUUUUAAACUUAUAGCGUUUGUGUUGUCAAUACCUGUUGCUGUUGGUUUAUUUUUCAUUGUUUAUAUAAUCUGGUUUUUAUACUCGUUAUAUUUUGGGGUAGGGCUUUUCAUUGUUUUAUUUAUUUUGUUUGUUUUUUGAUAUCUUGUUGAUGUUUCUUAUACUCGUUAUAUUUUUGGUUUGGUUUUAUUGUGUUUACAGAAUUGAUUGUCUUGUGGGUUGAUUUUGGCCCGUAUAAACAGUCUAUGAAUAUAGAUCACGCUAUUACAGAUGGUUUCGCAGAUUAAAUAAAUAUGGUGCAUUCCCUGUCACAUGUCCAGCCAGAGCCGAGCAUGGCCUUAGAUCAGGAUACUUUAAAUACGCAUCAAGUUUUUAAGCUCCCAGAAACUGGUUUUAUCAAUAAUCAGAUUGAACCUGGGACUUCAGACAGUGGUUUUAUCAAUAAUUAGAUUGAUCCAGAGGUUCCGGGUGUUCAUUUUACGGCCAUCAGGUUCUCGAUGGGUCAAAUGAGAAUUUGAAUGUUCACCAGGUUGGUGAGGGGUCGGACGAACCGCAUCACAAUUCUGAAACCCCCGACGAUGUUGAGAGGCUUGUGAGAGACGGGGGUGAAUUUAAUGGCUAUAUCAUUGUUCCUCUUACAAGAUUUAAGAGUCUGGAAAUACACAGGAAUAUAAAUCCGAGGUCAAUAUCUUCUACAGAUAUGGCCUCGUACGUUGUAUUUUAGGAUGGUGUUCUAAAUGAAAUAGUCUCACUUUCUAGAAUUAUGGCCGUAGAUGGAGGAUUUAUACAUUUAUUAUUAAGAGGAGAAAGUUUAACAUCUGACGUCAACGCUCUGCUUACACCAGCCAACAAUUACAGCGUCUCCGUGUUCACAAAUCAGAUACAUCAUGCAAAGCAACGCAAUCUAUCUAAUGUUAAAAGUCUCUAUGGUCAGAAGGAAAAAAUUCCUUGAUCUAGCACACAAUGAGGUUAUAAAAAGAAAUAGAAUGAUUUUUUUUUGCCCUACUAAUAUGUCUGAUAAGCUAUGCUUCAUUUGUCUUGCACACUUCCUGAAUCCCCAAAAAACAGACACUGAAUAAGUGCCCAUAGCUGCUGCCAUGCAAAAUGCAGCUGGAUUUUCUAACCAAGACAUGAUACGGUUUAAUGACGUGGCAUUGUUUGAGAGGUUGCUAAACAUCAAAAUUUUAGUUUUCCACAGAUCAAGCACAGGUGCAUUGGAAAAAUACAUGACAAAAGAUAAGCCCCACUACAAGAUGGUGUUUCUCUAUCUGUCGGAUAGUCAUUAUUUCUUGAUAAAAUAUUUGAGGGGUUUAUUGCAGUGUUUCUUAACUGCGUUCCUGGAGGCCUACUGAUCUGCACAUUUUGUAUGUUUCUCUUAUCUGCCGGCCUCAGUUCAGAUCAUGGAGAUCUCUGCUAAUGAGCUGAUGAUUUAAAUCAGGUGUGUUAAAUAAGGGAGACAUACAGAAUGUGCAGAGCUGUGGGCCUCCAGGAAUAACGCUGAGAACCACUGGUUUAUUGGAUGUCGCAUCGUCUGCGACUAUUGUUACGCUUGCUUUUCUGAUAAGAGAUUUCACAGAUGCAAAUACGCCUGUGACUGCUACAAGCACCCUGUUCAGACGAUACACUGUGGUGAUUAUUUGAGGUACUGCAAAUCAAAAUAUUGUUAUGACAUGCAUAAAAAGCCUCCACUGGGUCAACAGUUUGCCCAGUGUGACGUAAACAAAAACUGCCCAAGAUGUAAUCUACGCUAUGACGUCAGAGGUUCUGCCACCAAACCGCACAAAUGUCCAGCAGACACGUGUGUGCAUUGCGGCAUGGAUUUGAUACCCGAUGGGGCUCACCAGUGUUUUAUUCAGCCCAUAAGGCUCGAGACACCCAGCGAGAAAUCGAUCUUCUAUGAUUUUGAGACGUGUUACAAGGGUGGGAAGGAUGUUGCAAAUUUUGUAUGUGCCAUAACUUUUCCGGGUGAAGAUUUUACAGCAGAGGGCACCGACUGUGUCGCACAGCUCGUGCAAAGAUUCAGACAACCUAGGUAUACCAAUUACAUGUGGAUAGCCCACAAUGCUUCUGGCUUUGACAAUUUUAUACUUUUGGAAUAUUUCACAAAAGAAGGGCUCACUAUUAAAAUCACGAUGCAAGGCUCUCGUUUGAUAUUAAUGUUUGAAGAAAGUUAGGGUGACCAUACGUGCCAUUCUACCCGGACGCAUCCCGUCCAGGAUUUUGUGUUCGUCUUCCGGACGUCAUAUUUGUCGACAUAC
Molecule: long non-coding RNA, 4148 nt
Organism: Paramisgurnus dabryanus
Lineage: Eukaryota; Metazoa; Chordata; Actinopteri; Cypriniformes; Cobitidae
Source: RefSeq, a predicted model, not a curated record